Numida meleagris (helmeted guineafowl) is the source of this 175-nucleotide unclassified non-coding RNA. NCBI's taxonomy places the organism in Eukaryota, Metazoa, Chordata, Aves, Galliformes, Numididae. The record is from Ensembl.
CUGUGGGCAUGGGGCUGAGGCCUUUCUCCUCCACAGGUCAGGUACAGUGUGGACAAGUGCACUGUAGACUUCCCUACACGGCUCCUCCAGUGCACCUCAAAGCAGACAUGGAAGGACCGCUAUCGAAUAGGGGUGAGAAGGUAAUUCUGGUCCUCGCUGCAGGUUUGGGGCCAAC